RNAcentral lists this transfer RNA (74 nucleotides) under Nitritalea halalkaliphila LW7. It matches the Rfam family "tRNA". Rfam says of the family: Transfer RNA (tRNA) molecules are approximately 80 nucleotides in length. The record is from Rfam by way of RNAcentral. Lineage: Bacteria; Pseudomonadati; Bacteroidota; Cytophagia; Cytophagales; Cyclobacteriaceae.
CGGGGUGUAGCGUAGCCCGGUUAUCGCGCACAUUUGGGAUGUGGAGGUCGCAGGUUCGAAUCCUGCCACCCCGA